CCUACGGGCGGCAGCAGUGGGGGAUAUUGCACAAUGGGGGGAACCCUGAUGCAGCGACGCCGCGUGGGUGAAGGAGUGCUUCGGCAUGUAAAGCCCUAUCGGCAGGGCAGAAGCAAGACGGUACCUGACUAAGAAGUCCCGGCUAACUACGUGCCAGCAGCCGCGGUAAUACGUAGGGGGCGAGCGUUAUCCGGAUUCACUGGGUGUAAAGGGAGCGUAGACGGCCAUGCAAGCCAGGGGUGAAAGCCCGGGGCCCAACCCCGGGACUGCCCUUGGAACUGUGCGGCUAGAGUGCGGGAGGGGCAGGCGGAAUUCCUGGUGUAGCGGUGAAAUGCGUAGAUAUCAGGAGGAACACCGGCGGCGAAGGCGGCCUGCUGGACCGCGACUGACGUUGAGGCUCGAAAGCGUGGGGAGCGAACAGGAUUAGAUACCCCUGUAGUC
This 441-nucleotide ribosomal RNA is filed under the name uncultured bacterium. Its description in RNAcentral is "partial 16S ribosomal RNA". It matches the Rfam family "Bacterial small subunit ribosomal RNA", at positions 338 to 795 of the family's 1533-position model. The record is from RNAcentral.